Long non-coding RNA from Phalaenopsis equestris, 287 nucleotides. RefSeq lists it as uncharacterized. NCBI's taxonomy places the organism in Eukaryota, Viridiplantae, Streptophyta, Magnoliopsida, Asparagales, Orchidaceae. The record is from RefSeq and is a predicted model, not a curated record. The transcript has 3 exons.
UGAGCUUAGUGAAGCUCGGCAUUGUUACUGAUUAUACCCUCCUGCGAGCUGAUGGUUCUUAGAAGAACUUGAAGUUUGUUGCGAAGUUGACUGAAGCGGCGUUUUGAGAGAGCUUUGUAACAAGAAGACCAAAGGCAACAGCAAGCUUCUCACUAUGAUACUUCAAUGAAUACUCUUUCUGUUCAUCAUCCACAUCAUGCAAGGCAAAGUGCUUAAAGGAUUGGACCUAUCUCCACAGACAAAUUCAUAUCGGGUUUCGUUUACUGUAAUCCAACUAGAACCUUGAA